This 254-nucleotide long non-coding RNA is filed under the name Cricetulus griseus (Chinese hamster). RNAcentral's name for it is "lncRNA (ENSCGRG00015032350.1)". Lineage: Eukaryota; Metazoa; Chordata; Mammalia; Rodentia; Cricetidae. The record is from RNAcentral.
AGAGCACAGUAUUAUGUUCUUGUGUCCUUCCUAUACAGAUCACUUAAACUAACAAUGUGGGUCUUUUGUUUCUUAAGGCCAUAGUUGUGGAAGAGUAGGAAGCCUGUCUGGAGGCACUUUUGCAGCAAGCGCUUUGUAUCCAUGUAGCAGAAAGGACUCAAUGCUACUAAGAUACUACAUUGCAGAGUGCACAGUUUUAAUUGGUUUUCUCUGAGGAUCACUUUUGAGCCACUGAUGGAGUGUGCCUUGAGAAG